Molecule: non-coding RNA, 2453 nt
Organism: Rattus norvegicus (Norway rat)
Lineage: Eukaryota; Metazoa; Chordata; Mammalia; Rodentia; Muridae
Source: RefSeq, a predicted model, not a curated record
UUACUUUAAGAAAGCAGACUGAGGAAGCCAUAAAGGACAAGUCAGUAAGCAGUCUUUCUCUUACUUCAGUUAAGUAAGUCUGCUUUCAGGGUCACGCCCUGCUUGAUUCCCUGCUUUGGCUUCCCUUCAUGACAGCCUGCAAGCUGUAAAAUGGAAUAAACUCUUUUCUUUCCCAAGGUGCUUUGGGUCAUGGUGUUUAUCACAGCAAUAAAAAACAAACUAGGACGUAACCCAAAUAGAUCUGUUUCUUCUCGGUUGCAAUAAGAUAAGCCAAGGGCUAGGGCUCAUCCGCUGUUGGCUGCACGAAACAGAACGACCGUUUCUCGCUUAGAAGCCAUAGGCUGAUGCUCUGGGAUCCAUUUCACAGCUUUUCACAUGGGUUUCUCUCAGUCACGCGUUUGCAAUCUGCAGUGCCUCCCAGUUGGAGUUCUUUCUGAUGACAUUGUAGGACGGGGAUAUUUCAUCACAAUAUUCUGUUGGACAAUAAGAUGUUCGAGUUCCCUGCAGACCGAGGAGGAAAACCUGUCGGCAUUAUGGAGGGACAAGCGGGAAGCUUUGAGCAGACACUGGUUCACCGGCAACACUUUGAGGACCACUGCACUAUUCUAGACCUUAACAUGACAGAGAUCAGACAUGACUUGGAUAAAAGACAGUAAGGCUGUGACCGCUGAAACUCCGGGGCAAAGUUUUGGAGACAGUUUUUCAGAGAACCUAGAGCUUACCAACUCAGAAAGGCUGACCAAUGAACUUCGGCGAUCCAAACGGGCCUCCAUGUUUGCACAGCAGGUAAUUUAAAUGGCUGAGUCAUGUUUCCAGAUCCCCAACUCUUAGUUUCUACCAUCUCUUAAUGACAUCAUCAAAUUAUAACUCUAUUACUGGAUUAAUGCAUUAAUAAUGUUAGAACCUUCAUGGUGACUCAUUCCCUCAGAGCCCAUCAGUAUGCCACCAAGUCUAUCACACACAUGCGCGUGCACACACACACACACACACACACACACACACACACACACACACUUUGGAGACAUUUCAAAUUCACAAUAUUCCAGAGUUUAUAUUCCAGCACUCUACCAAGGUACCUUUCCCGAAGGACAUGGUUGGAAGGACAUGACCACACAUGGGUCUACUAAGGGAGGCUUUCAACACUAUAAAGUGUGAGUCUUUGAACACAAAUAUGCAGAAAAAAACCACAGUUAAGCCUCUCAUACCAUCUUCUGAUAAACUGGCUACAGUAGUCCUCAAAGCACACAUGGUAUGUUUUAUCUAUUGAUGCAGAAAAAGAAGACACCAUUUGUUCUUUCAUUGAGUGUUAGAGCCUACAUGGUCCACUGAACUCAGUGGAUAGCUGUAUUUGCCGUUAAGUGUGGUGCAGCUUUGUGAGGAGAAAUGAAUCUCUGUGGCGCAAAUCAGAGUCACGUGCAAUGGUAAUAUAGCUAUCGCUGCCAGGUAAACACAUCCUGCAUGAGUUCGUGAAUUUCUAUAUUUUAGGUCAGGUGUCUCUGCUACAAUUAUUUAUACCAAAACUUGUGCUGGGAGGCAGAGCAUGGGCAGUGGUGUUUGGGCUAUGGGGAGCUUUCACGAACUUGUCCAUGUGUUUCUUCUUGGCUAGUAGGUUUUCUCUCUUCCUUCCCAUCUUCCUGCUUGCCUUUAUACUUUCCACCCCGGGAGAAGAAACAGCACUGCUCAGGGAGAGAACUGUCUCUGCUUUCUAGCUGCCCUGAGGUGAGCCACUGCACCACCCUGAGCUGCUCAUCAGAGUCCCUGCCACAGCCCUAGGCCAAGGAGGUCAGGGACUGUGGACCGAAACCUUCAUGGUGAGGGUUAAAAUAAAUUCUUGCUCCGUUAAAGCUGUUUUUCUUAGAUAGUUGGCAGAAAGCAACUAAUACAGAUUAUGACAAGAUGGAGAAUAAAAGAAACUAAUGAUAAUGAUUAAUAAUAAUGGUAAUAAUAAUAAUAGACAUUUCACCCUUACCUGUUUCUCCUUCAUUGAUCUGGACUAUGUGACACAGUUUAGGGAACAGAAAUAUAAUUUACUACAGCCUGGCUAUAAAUCAUACUUUCAGUAGGAUUUUUGUGGCAUAUUCAUAUCGGGUCAUAGAUAUUCAUUUGGAAAUAAAGACAUGGAAAUUUAGAAGAGAAAACGAUGCCCAAUCAAUACAUGUUACAAUUAUAAAAACUUUAUUUCACUCUUGCUUUCAUUAAAUCUUUAUAAGCACCAUGUCAUAGACAGGCAACGUAGAAAGAGGACACCGGAGCGCUUCAGCUGAUAACAAACUGCAAGCCAAUGAGGAUGGGAAAUUCCAGCUAUGUGGGGCACGUAAAUGAAACCACACUUAGGAAGAUUCACUGGGGAAUCUCAUAAAAGCAGGCAAUGGGAGCCAGGCAUCGAUCUGUUCACACUGUCUGUCUGUUGUAGAAACCCAAAGCUUGUGCUUGCGAAGAUCAAAAGGAACACC